UACGUAGGGGGCAAGCGUUGUCCGGAAUCAUUGGGCGUAAAGCGCGUGUAGGCGGCUCAGUAAGUCCGCUCUGAAAGCCCGGGGCUUAACCCCGGGAGGCGGGUGGAUACUGCUGAGCUUGAGUCCGGAAGAGGCGAGUGGAAUUCCCGGUGUAGCGGUGAAAUGCGCAGAUAUCGGGAGGAACACCGGUGGUGUAGACGGCUUACUGGACCACGACUGACACUGAGGCACGAAAGCGUGGGUAGCAAACAGG
This 253-nucleotide ribosomal RNA is filed under the name uncultured bacterium. RNAcentral's name for it is "partial 16S ribosomal RNA". It matches the Rfam family "Bacterial small subunit ribosomal RNA", at positions 524 to 776 of the family's 1533-position model. The record is from RNAcentral.